Molecule: long non-coding RNA, 1368 nt
Organism: Leopardus geoffroyi (Geoffroy's cat)
Lineage: Eukaryota; Metazoa; Chordata; Mammalia; Carnivora; Felidae
Exons: 2
Source: RefSeq, a predicted model, not a curated record
AAACUCUUUUAGCCUCAGAUGAAGAAGAAAGGAAGAAGUCAGAAUGUUUGUGAUGUUUCUUUGCCAGAUCGGGAAUCGAGAUCUCCGCGAACUUUUUUCAACUAAAAUUGUACUCUGAAGUCCUUCUGGAUGAGAACUGGAGGGAUGAGGAGACUUAAUCAACUAAACUCAGGUAAAUCUGAACUAGAAGUUAACGUUUUUUCCCAGAAUGUCUCUCUCCUGACGCCCUCCUUUCCUCACAUAACGUUAGUUACUGCCUGCGGUAAGUAUGGUCAGGCCUCAUUUCCAGAAAAACAGCACUGAAGUGGUUAAACAGUUUGCUUUUCACAUGGCACAUUGCUGAUUACGCUGCUGAGAUCGAAGUUCGGAUUUCCAGAAAUCAAGUUUCUCCAUACUGGAAGACCUCCGGCCUCUCAGUAGGCAUGGGGCGGCUGUUUUCUUUGUUUUUGUGCUGCACAAUUCCGACCCAGGCAUCCAAUAUCGUCAAAGUAGGCUUGGAGCUCAGAUCUGUUCUGCUGGGAGCACAGAGUGACAAACACCGCAAAUCAAAUUAUCCUGCUUAGAUAUAUCAGUGAAUUGGAAGUCAGGCCUCAGGAGGGCUGGCACAGUCAGUGCUAGCUUGGUUGAGCCUUUUCUUAGAAGCUUGCAGUAACUGUUUUGGGCUGGUAGACCCAAGGCUCUCUGUAAACAGGUCAGGGUCUAUUCUCCUUGGGAUUGGAUGAUGUCUACAGGGCAGGCUGAGCAGGUCCUGUGAAAUUAGGCCCCUUGCUCUUGCUUUAGUGUUCUCUAUUUGAAGACAAUCUCACCUUACCUCAGAAGCUUCAGGAAAUUUCCAUAUGGAAGAAGGACCCCCCCCACCUCCCCAACACCCUCCUUGCUUUCUGGAGUCUUCCUAAAAGCCAUGUUUACUUCUUUGUUUAUUAAUUCACUCAAAAUCAAUUAAUUGUCUAUAGUAUAAGGCGUUGGCAUUAUAAGGGAAAAUAAAACAUGUAGAGUAUAUAAAUUGUGCUCGGCCAAGUUUAAAUCCUGUUUCAGUCAAGUAGUACAAGGGGUAUUAAGUAUGCAAACACUUACUUGUAGGAUCAUUUAUUCAUAAUGUUCUUACCCAUGUGUGCACAGACGCAUAGACCCACACAAAUCCCACGGUAAUAUGAGGAUUUGGAAAAUUACGACAAUGGGAAUUCAGGAAGCAAGUUCAGGGGCAUUUGACUACCACAAUCUGGUGAGUGAUGUGUAGAAAAGUGGAUAGACUUCGAAACCAGCCCGACCUGGGAUCAGAUUCUUUGUUACUUGCUAGAUGUGUGUUACAUUGGUAAGUGAUAAUCUAUUUUCUCAUUUAUAAAAUGAAGAUAAAGAUAAACUCUGCCA